UACGAAGGGGGCUAGCGUUGCUCGGAAUCACUGGGCGUAAAGCGCACGUAGGCGGCUUUUUAAGUCAGGGGUGAAAUCCUGGAGCUCAACUCCAGAACUGCCUUUGAUACUGAGAGGCUCGAGUCCGGGAGAGGUGAGUGGAACUGCGAGUGUAGAGGUGAAAUUCGUAGAUAUUCGCAAGAACACCAGUGGCGAAGGCGGCUCACUGGCCCGGUACUAACGCUGAGGCGCGAAAGCGUGGGGAGCAAACAGG
Molecule: ribosomal RNA, 253 nt
Filed under: uncultured bacterium
Lineage: Bacteria
Description: partial 16S ribosomal RNA
Rfam family: Bacterial small subunit ribosomal RNA
Source: RNAcentral